GGGAAAGGAGGUGGAUAUUCACAGACAACCAGGAGGUUGGCUUAGAAGCAGCCAUGCCUUGAAAGAGUGCGUAAUAGCUCACUGGUCGAGAGUAUCUGCGCCGAAGAUGUAACGGGGCUGAAGACAUAAACCGAAGCUGUGGAAGCGGCCAUGCCGCUUGGUAGGAGAGCGUUCUGUAGGUCUGCGAAGGCUGGCCGGAAGGCCUGCUGGAGACAUCAGAAGCGAGAAUGCAGGAAUGAGUAGCGAGAAGGAGGGCGAGAAUCCCUCCGGCCGGAAGUCCAAGGUUUCCGGGGGAAGGUUUGUCCGCCCCGGGGAAGUCGGGACCUAAGCGUAAGCAGAGAUGUGAUUGCGAAUGGGAAACAGGUUAAUAUUCCUGUACCGCUGCCAGUCGCCUGAGUGACGGAGUGACGCAGCAAGGUAUGUGAGAAGGCUGACGGAAUAGCCUUUCUAAAGGCGUAGCCUGGGCACGCAGGCAAAUCCGCGUGCCUAAAGGUGAGACCCUAUGGGCAAGUGCUCCUGCACAAGUCACAGAUCCUACACUGCCAAGAAAAACUUCUAGCGAGACUGGACAGCGCCCGUACCCUAAACCGACACAGGUGGACAGAGUGAGAAACUUAAGGCCGACAGGAUAACUCUAGCUAAGGAACUCUGCAAAAUAGCCCCGUAACUUCGGGAGAAGGGGUGCCUGACAUACCUGAAGAGAGAGACGCUCCUAGGGGAAACAGGCCGCAGUGAAGAGUCUCAAGCAACUGUUUACCAAAAACACAGGUCUAUGCUAAGCUGGAAGGCGACGUAUAUGGGCUGACACCUGCCCAGUGCCGGAAGGUUAAGAGGAGGAGUGAGAGCUCCGAUUUGAAGCCCCGGUGAACGGCGGCCGUAACUAUAACGGUCCUAAGGUAGCGAAAUUCCUUGUCGGGUAAGUUCCGACCUGCACGAAUGGUGAAAUGAUUUGGGAGCUGUCUUGGCUGGAGACCUGGUGAAGUUGUAAUGCCGGUGAAGAUACCGGCUACCUGCAGUAGGACGGAAAGACCCCGUGGAGCUUCACUGCAGCCUGGCAUUGGGUUCUGGCAACGUGUGUAUAGGAUAGUUGGGAGACUGCGAAGUUGAGGCGCCAGCCUCUUCCGAGUCGCUGUUGGAAUACCAACCAUAUGCUGCCGGAAUUCUAAUCCGCUCGCGGAGACAGUGCUAGGCGGGCAGUUUGACUGGGGCGGUCGCCUCCAAAAGAGUAACGGAGGCGUUCAAAGGUUCCCUCGGGCUGGAUGGAAAUCAGCCUUCGAGUGCAAACGCAUAAGGGAGCUUGACUGCAAGACCGACGGGUCGAGCAGGUACGAAAGUAGGAGUUAGUGAUCCGGCGGUCCCUCAUGGAAGGGCCGUCGCUCAACGGAUAAAAGCUACCCCGGGGAUAACAGGCUGAUACUUCCCAAGAGUCCAUAUCGACGGAAGUGUUUGGCACCUCGAUGUCGGCUCGUCUCAUCCUGGGGCUGGAGAAGGUCCCAAGGGUUGGGCUGUUCGCCCAUUAAAGAGGCACGCGAGCUGGGUUCAGAACGUCGUGAGACAGUUCGGUCCCUAUCCACUGCAGGCGCUUGAGCACUGAAAAGAUCUGACCUUAGUACGAGAGGACCGGGUUGGACAGACCUCUGAUGUAUCAGCUGUCACGCCAGUGGCACGGCUGAGUAGUCACGUCUGGCCAGGAUAAUCGCUGAAAGCAUCUAAGCGAGAAGCCGGCUUUGAGAUGAGUGCUCGCAGUAUCCACAGAGAACAUGUGGUCGAUAGGCUGGGGAUGUAAGCGCAGCAAUGCGUUCAGUUGACCAGUACUAAUAUUACUUGGGCUUUUUUAA
This 1838-nucleotide ribosomal RNA is filed under the name human oral metagenome. Its description in RNAcentral is "bacterial LSU rRNA". It matches the Rfam family "Bacterial large subunit ribosomal RNA", at positions 1065 to 2925 of the family's 2925-position model. The record is from RNAcentral.